Long non-coding RNA from Ficedula albicollis (Collared flycatcher), 3488 nucleotides. NCBI's taxonomy places the organism in Eukaryota, Metazoa, Chordata, Aves, Passeriformes, Muscicapidae. The record is from Ensembl.
CCCUGUGGGAUGGAUCCCUGUCCCUCAGGAUGGAUCCCUCAGGAUGGAUCCCUUGGGAUGGAUCCCUGUGGGAUGGAUCCCUGUCCCUCAGGAUGGAUCCCUCAGGAUGGAUCCCUGUCCUUGGGGAUGGAUCCCUCAGGAUGGAUCCCUGUCCUUGGGGAUGGAUCCCUCAGGAUGGAUCCCUGUCCUUGGGGAUGGAUCCCUCAGGAUGGAUCCCUGUCCUUGGGGAUGGAUCCCUCAGGAUGGAUCCCUGUCCUUGGGGAUGGAUCCCUCAGGAUGGAUCCCUGUCCUUGGGGAUGGAUCCCUCAGGAUGGAUCCCUGUCCUUGGGGAUGGAUCCCUCAGGAUGGAUCCCUGUCCUUGGGGAUGGAUCCCUCAGGAUGGAUCCCUGUCCUUGGGGAUGGAUCCCUCAGGAUGGAUCCCUGUCCUUGGGGAUGGAUCCCUCAGGAUGGAUCCCUGUCCUUGGGGAUGGAUCCCUGUUCCAGGUGCUUUCAGAAGCUUCACUUGGGUGAUUUCAGAGGAGGAAAGGAGCUAAUGGCUCCAUUAAAAAUGCCCUCAGCCCUGUUUCUUGUCCUGGGUUGAUGUUUUGUCUAGCUCCUCUCCCUGCCCCCGCUAACAAAACACCAACCCAGGACAUUCUCCAGGCUCAGACUUCCCCAGUUCUGUUUUUAUCCCUGGGAGCCUGUGCUGAGGAGCUGCCAGCGUGGGGCACCUGCCCAGCUCAUGGCACAGGCACAGCUGUGGCUCCCAACAAGGACAAUAAUUCCUGUUUUGUGGAAGAAAACAGAAGCUGUGGCGAUCAGAGCCCAAGCAGCCAGGCAGAAACUCCUGGAACUGGAUUUCCUCCUUCUUUUCAACCCUUGAAAUCGAAUGUCUCACUCUCUUUUCCAGGCAGUUUGACUGACAGCGAUGAAAAGCCCCAGCAGUGCUUUGGGCGAGGCUGCUCACAGACACAGGCAUGGCAAGUGCCCUGUUCAGCACUCCACACUGAACCAGGAGUAAGGAAGGCAGCACCAAGGACCCACGUGGGACCCCUGACUCUUGGUGGUUUUUAUUCCUGUCCCCUGUGAGCACGGGGCCAUUUCACCCUCACUCUGUGCCAGUGGAGAUGAGGCUGCAAAGGUGGCAAGUGGUGGACAGCAAGGCCUCUGGUCUAGAAGGGCAGGGGUGCUCAGAUGAUGACAGUUAACGAAAAUAAAGCAAUAAUUAAAUUAAAACAUCAAGAAAAAAAAGCUCAGUAAUGGUAAGAUUAACUGCAGUAUAACCUCCUACAGGAAGCAGCACAAGGCAGAGCAUUUUCAUCUUUUAAAACAGGACUAAACAUAGUUUUGGGUAACAUAUUACAGCACUGGAAUAAAUGACUGGAAGCUGGUGCAGCUACUGGAGGCUCAGCCACAGCCCUACAGCUGAAGGGUGUUGUAGGAUUUAGGGAGGGUGUUGGGUCAAUGCAUCAGCCAUCACUCACUCCCACAGGAGUGCUGCCAAAGCAGGGUGCAGCUCCUAUGUGCAAUCAGCAUUAAUUAUCUGUACAUGGAUGUGUCUGUAAUUAGGUACAUGUGUGUGUGUAUAUGUGCAAAUACAAAUAUCACAUGGGGAGGGGUUAUGGCAGAUGUUAGAAAAGAACAUCAUCCCACUGCUGAAGCAGCCUCAGGCUCUCUGAGCCGCUCCUGAGCUCUGCUGCUGGGAAACCUCUGCUCAGGACGAAGGGGGUGCCUUCCCCUGCUCCCCCCGGCCUCUGGGGGUCUGCAUCACCUCGGGGAUCAGCCACACAGGGACAGGGGAAGGGGGAUGCUCCUGCUCUGCCCUUGGUGGCUCCCCUGGCAAAGGGGGCUCCAGGAGGGCACAAAGGCAGGGAGGAGGCUCCUCCUGCCAGGGGAAUCAGCUUCAGGUCCUUGAAUUUCCCUCUGAAUCCUUCCUAGAGAGGCCCCAGGAGGAGGUGCCAGCCCCGAGCCUGGCUCAGCCCUGGGAUGAGGUACCUGGCAGUACCACACAGUGUUCUGCAGUUUUUGGUUAGCUGUUAGUUCAGGGUUAGACUUUUCCCAAAGUAAGUGCAGAACUGGGAAUAGAAAAUGCUGUCUGUACCACACAAAUGUUAGCAAAUGUUCUCCCGACUCCAGUCCUGCUCCCCCUGCUCGGGCAGAUCCUGUGGAGAACUGGAAUUGCUGACCUUGUCUAUCCCCAGAAUCAAUGCAGCCCAGAAGCCACGGACGGGACAACUGGAGCCCUAAGACUGAAAAAGCCAAAUGCCUCUCUGUCCAUGCAAGAUAUUUGGCUCUGGGGUUAAUUAUUAUCAAGUAUAAAUCCAGACAUCAUUUGGCUACUAUUUACAAUGGGUUAUACGUCCAGUGCUAGCAAAGGAAUUUCUCUAUAGAAACCAAAAGGUAAAAAGCAUGGGCAUACAUUACAAGGAACCUCAGUUAGACUCAGGAACGCUUGAUGCAGUUGAGUUCAGUGCUUUCAUUCUUUGCCAUUUGUGUGUACAGUAUUAAAAAAGAAUCCUACUUUUUUUUUUUUUCCUUUUUAAAAAUACAGAACUGUAGUCUAGUCACACUCUAACAAGUAAGUGAUAACAAAAAUAGAAAGCAGAUACCCAGGUGGGACUAAAACCCUACUAAAGCCUGUCUUCUUUUUUUUGUUGUUGUUGUUUUUGUUUUUCUCCACAAAUAUGUUUCCACAGACGAUAAUUAGCAGACAAACACACUGUAUGCAAUUGCACUGUAUUGACCUGAAGGGCGGAUACAAAAUAGUCUAAAUCGGUGAUGGCAUCGGGGGUGGGAGGUGUGUGUGUGUGUGAGUGUGUGUACACACCUGGGUGCUGGCACACCUGGGCUCCUGCGGGCACCACCCUGCCCUCGAGGGCUCUGCACUCACACACACACACACACACACAGAGUGAUGCAGGGACUGCUGUGACAGGUGGCUUCUUUUGUCUAAAUCUUUUCCUAUAAAAGAAAAAAAAAGUGAAAUUUUGGUUGGUUUAAAGGUUCUCCUCCAUGAAGAAAAAAACAAAAAAAAAAAAGAAAAAAUCGCAAAAUCCAUUGUUUUUCACCUUGUCAGUCAUUUCCUCAUGAAUAAAUAUUAUCCAUUAAAAACCUUUAAAAAGGUGCUGCGAUACACAGUGUUAGAUUCCCGGUGCCGCUCUGCUGCCGCGGCGGUUCCUCCCGGCGGCGCUGCGGGAGCUGCUGCCCCGUCCCGGCUCGUCUGUCCCCGCAGUUCCUUCCCCUGCAGCCCCGCUCGCCCCCGGCUCCGUGCGCUGGUCCCGCUGCUCCGGCUCGGGCUGGUCCAAUUUGGGCCGGUCCCACUGGUCCGGCUCGGGCUGGUCCGGCUCGGGCUGGUCCCACUGAUCCGGCUCGGGCUGGUCCAAUUUGGGCCGGUCCCGGGGGGGGGGGGGGGGGGGGGGGGGGGGGGGGGGGGGGGGGGGGGGGGGGGGGGGGGGGGGGGGGGGGGGGGGGGGGGGGGGGGGGGGGGGGGGGGGGGGGGGGGGGGGGGG